Molecule: small nuclear RNA, 106 nt
Filed under: Procavia capensis (Cape rock hyrax)
Lineage: Eukaryota; Metazoa; Chordata; Mammalia; Hyracoidea; Procaviidae
Description: U1 spliceosomal RNA (ENSPCAG00000020513.1)
Rfam family: U1 spliceosomal RNA
About the family: U1 is a small nuclear RNA (snRNA) component of the spliceosome (involved in pre-mRNA splicing).
Source: RNAcentral
CAUCUUACCUGGCAGGGGAGACACUGUGAUCUCAAAGGUAGUUUUUCUAGGAUGGGGCUUAUCCAUUGCAUUCUGGGAUGUGCUGAACCCUGCAAUUUCCUCAAAC